This 253-nucleotide ribosomal RNA is filed under the name uncultured bacterium. RNAcentral describes it as "partial 16S ribosomal RNA". It matches the Rfam family "Bacterial small subunit ribosomal RNA", at positions 524 to 776 of the family's 1533-position model. The record is from RNAcentral.
UACGGAGGGUGCAAGCGUUGUCCGGAAUCACUGGGUGUAAAGGGUGCGUAGGCGGCUAAAUAAGUCUGAGGUGAAAGCUUGUAGCUUAACUGCGAAAUUGCCUUUGAUACUGUAUAGCUUGAAAGGAGCUGAGGUCAGCAGAAUGUGGCAUGUAGCGGUGAAAUGCAUAGAUAUGCCAUAGAAUACCAAUUGCGAAGGCAGCUGGCUGGGCUUACUUUGACGCUGAGGCACGAAAGCGUGGGGAUCGAACAGG